AAAUGAUGUCAAGCAAGAUUUCUCUUGCUUUCUUUACUCUUAUAACCUUAUCCCUAAUCCUUCCCUCUCGUGCCCAAGACAACCCACAAGAUUACCUUGAUGCUCAUAAUGCAGCUCGUGCAGCUGUAGGUGUUGGUCCACUAACCUGGGACACCACAGUGCAAGCCUAUGCACAAAAUUAUGCUAACCAACGUGCCGGCGAUUGCAACCUUGUCCAUUCAGGUGGACCUUAUGGGGAGAACAUUGCAUGGAGCAGCGCGGACCUUUCAGGUACAGAUGCUGUAAAAAUGUGGGUUGAUGAGAAGGCUUACUACGACUACAACUCCAACUCAUGUGCCGCUGGCCAGCAGUGUGGGCACUAUACUCAGGUGGUUUGGCGUAAUUCUGCUCGCCUAGGAUGUGCUAAAGUGAAGUGUAGCACCGGAGGAACCUUCAUUGGGUGCAACUAUGAUCCACCCGGCAACUAUGUUGGGCAAAAACCUUACUAAACCUUUCUGAUUAUGAAAUUAGUGCUUCUAUUACCUGGAAUAUUAGUGAUAAAUAAGCUGAUUUAUAUUGGCAUUAAUUAAUAUAUGAUAGAAAAAUAUUUGCUACAUCUUGAUGAUAUGCUGAUUGCUGGCAUACAGGAAGUUCACGUGGUAUACGUUUGGAUGAUGUUAUAUAUAUAUAUAUAUAUAAAUAUAAUUAGCUUCUUAUAAUUUUAAUUAUAGUCAGAAUGAUCACAACUUAUGUGUUAUAGCAUCCAUUUUCAAUUCAAAUUAUCACUACAAGAUUUAACAGUUUUACCGACGGAAUUUUUUCGUUGGUGUAAGACACAUAUUCCAUCGGUAAUUAUAUUACCGACGGAAUCACAGAUGGAACAUACGCGUCGGUAAUAAUAUUUUUUAUUACCAACGGAAUUACCGAGGGAUAUACCGACGGAAUUACCGACGGAAAUUUCGUCGGUAAUUAUAUAAAAACAUUUUUAAAAAAAUUAUUUUAUAAAAUUAUAAAAUAAUUAAAUUAACAUAAAUCAACACUCUAUAAUAUAUACUCAAAAUGCUUGGAAAAAAGAAUAAGAAAAUCAACUCAAACAAAUUUGUAACAAAUAAAUAAAACAAAAAAAUAAAUUCAACUAAAAAAAUUCAUAUGAAAAAAAUAAAGUUACAAUUGCUAAAAAUUUAAAAAUCCCUAUAAAUAAAUCAACUAAAAAUUGAUCUCAUAUGAAAAAAAAAAUCUCACAACAACAUUUAUACAAUUAUUAAGAACACAAAAAAUUAAAAAUAAAAUAAAAUAACAAAUAUAGUGAAAAAUAUCAUGAAAAAAGAAGGAAAAAAAAAAUCUUACCUUAAUGUAGUUGCAAGUGAAGCUAAGGAGAGAAAAAUAAAUCGUAAAGCAUAUUAAUUAAAAAAAAGUAAGAAGAUAAAAGAAGAAAGAAGAAGAAGACAUACCCCGAGCAUAGAGGGAAAGAGAAGGAGAUGAGGAGAGAAAAGAAGAGAAAGAAAUAGAUAUUGAUGUUUUUUACAUAUAGUGAAGAAGAAGAAGAAGAAGAAAAGUAGUAGAAGAAGAAUAAUAAGAAAUGAGUUUAUCUCUUAUGAAAUAAGGGGAUCCAGACUUUUUAUUGAGGCGUGUUAGCGACGGAUUUACCGACAGAUAAUUGAAUAUUAAUAUUUUUUAAUUAUUCCGUCGGUAAUUCCAUCGGUAAUAUUUAAUUUAAAUUUUCAAUUUCAUAAAAAGUUUUCAGAAACCGCCAACAAUUACCGAUAAUUUUUCAAUCCGUCAGUGAUUCCGUCUGUAAUAUUAUACUUCAAUUCAUGUGUUGGGAAAUAAAGAAUAAUUCAUUAAUUAGCGAUUGUUUGUCUCUCGUUGUCUUGGCUGUAAUCAUCCCUUUAGCUAGCUCAAGCUCAAAACUACUCUAAACAAGACUUCCUCAAUGCUCACAACAACGCUCGAGCACAGGGUGGGUGUUGGACCUUUGGGAUGGAAUUAAAAUUAGCAAAAUUUGAAAAACCAUGAAAGUAAAAAAAAAAAAAAAAUCUUGAAACAUAAAAUAUUAAAUCAUACCAGUCGCAAACAAAUUACUAAUCAGCUCAUACCACUAGUGUUAUUUAAUGAUACAAUUCAAUACAUGCAAGUCAAUAUCUAGUAUUAAUACCUUAAAAAUAAUUAGAAAAAUAAUAUUAAUGGAUAUAUGAUAUUUUUUUCUCUAAUUUGGAUAUGAUUUUUUGAGGUAUUACAAUAAAUUUAAAGAGAAUUCAAAAAAACAUGUAAAAAAUUAUGGGUUGAGUCGGAUAGGUACUUGGACUGAUAAAAAAAACCUUUCAUCCUAUUUGAUCCGACUUGAGCGGGUGUGGAUCCAAUGCAAAUGAUGGUUAUAGGAAUACCGAGUUGGAUGCAGGUGCAAAACAACUCGACUCGGUCCAUUACCAUCCUAUUGGUUCUCUGCUUUUCUUGUCAUCAUCCAUUGGGUUAGUAGGUGCAAUCCAAGAUGCUACCUCAGUAAGAAUAGACUCAACUAUUCUUACACAUAUAAAUGUAUUUUAAAUAUAUUAUUAUAUGAAUUUAUCCAUCAUCUAAGAUUAUGGAUCAGACUUAAUUUUUUACAUAUCAUUUUAUAGAAGCAUUAUUAAAAAUUUAUUUACAAUGAUGAAUUAAUGACUAUAUGUUAACAAAAUUCGCAUUCUAAAUUCAAAAAUACAAUUAGUUUGGUUCAUAAUCUUUUAUAUAUAUUGCUCUCAAUUAAGCUCGUUGCUAUUUUGAUCCUUUCUCUCUCUCCACACACACACACGUAUAGAGUAAUUUUCUCUCCCUUCCUGAUUUCCCUUUCUUUUCUUUCUUUUCUUUCUUCUUCUUCUUUUCCUUUGGAUACGAUGAGGUUUUUAUUUAAGCGGUCUACAUAAGUGAAGUUUUUAUAUUUAAUUUUUUCAGAUAUCGAUGCCAUAUAAUUAAUUUGUUAGUUAAGGUAAUUCACAUCUUAUGCCAUCUCUUGCUGUAACCAUUCAUUUAGAACAAAAUAUAUUAAAGGGGCUGUUUUUUAAAGUAUAUUUUAUUUAUAAAUAUAUUAAAAUAAUAUUUUUAUAGUCUUUUAAUAAUUAUUUUUUAUAUCAGCAUAUCAAAAUAAUUAAAAACUAUAAAAACAAUUAAUUUUAAAUAAAAAAAAAUGAUUUCAAUUUAAAAAAACUCAAUUUGAAAUGUAAUUUUAAACAACAUAAGGGCCAUUUUUAGAAAAAUAAGUUGGAAUGGUGUAUUCAAAAUGAAGAUCAGAUAUCUUUCUUAAUAAAAACACUUUUAAUGAUGAUUUUAUCUAUUAAUAAUUUAAUCCAAAUCUACUUCCCAAAUUGGUGUCUCGAAAAUUGUUGCAUCGUAUGGGGUGGAUUCCCCUCACACAGAGAACUCGCUCAUCCAAAUGCUAAUAAUAAUAAUAAUAAAAAACUCUUGGGAAAUUGACUGAUAAAUAUGAAUCUUUGUUUAUGAUGUGCGCAAACUGAUCCAAACAUCCACAUUAAAUUAAAAAAAAAAACUAGUUGAAGUGUAUAGACAAAUUGGUAAUCAAUAGAUGGCUGGAAAAAUGGAAAACCAUUUUGAAAAUCGUAAUCCUAUGAUAUAAAUACUAUAUUAUAAUAAGAUGAAUAAAAUCAGAUAUGCAUACAAAAAUGAUUGAGGAUUUAAUAACUUUACUAUUAUAUGUGAAUUCACAGUUUGCUUUGUGCCCAUGAUUAAGAAGAACAAAGAAAAAAAACGAAGGAAAGAAGUUGCUCUGUGCCUGGAAUGGAGACGGCUAGGUUACAAGUAGUCAUUUGCGUUCAUGUCUCCCUGGCCCAGGCUUCUGCCGAUGAUUUUGUUAAAGCCCAUAACGAAAUUCGUGUACAGGUUGGGGAUGUCCCGAUUUCUUGGAACAAAAACAUUGGCAGCCGGAGCCUGUUUGGGCAAGGGAACUUGCUAUACCAAGGAUCUCCUGCUGCAAUUUAAUCGAAGACAUGUUCACUGAAGGCCUCUUAUCCUUUGACUGCGUCUGAAGCUGUUGGGUUGUGGUGCCAGCGAGAAACCUUCCUAGGAUUAUUUUGCCUAGUCAAAAAUUUUACAUGAGUUUUUUUUUUUAAAUUGGAUUUUAAAUAUUCAUAGCAAGCUAUCUAAUGCAUAAAUUUAUUAACGGGAGAGAUUUUCACUGUAUAUUUUUUACUGUGCAAAAUUUUAUUUUAUUUUUUUUCAAUUUAAUCCUUAAACUUUGUUUUUUGCAAUCAAGUCAAAGAGCAAUUAAUUUCAAAUUCUUAUGAAAAGGUGAGAUUGAAAGGGGGAGGACUGAAAUUAAAAAUACGGCAAACAUAGGUGACGUAUCACAAGUUUAAAAAACAUUUACUUUGGUCCUCCAACUUAAAUAAUCACGCAAAUUAUACAAUUACAGUUCAUUGAAAUUGUUCCAAUUCCAUUUUGGUACAUAGAUUUAUUUUUAUUAAUUUUUAUCCUUAGUCGAGAGAGGAGAGAGAGAGGGGUCGCCGGACCCCGUUAAUAGAGAGGGAAAAACUUGUCAUCGGCACCGAUUUAGACCAUAAAAAUAAAAGAUUUUUACGUCAAAUUGUUUUAUUUGAAACGGAGAAUUUAUAUUAAGUGUUUUUAUAUCUUAAAAGUUCUUGAAAAAAUAUAUCUGAAUUCAAAUUAAAGACAAUAGAAAGUGAUGACAUGUAUCGAGGUUUACUCUUAUGCAAUUAAUUUCUAGAAUAUCCAUGCAUCUGAAUUUUGUAUCUUUAUACUCUUAUAACUAAUAUUUAUUAGUGAGACGUAAUGUUUUAUAUGCUUUUUAAGAAUUUUUCAUUCUUAUAUGUGUUCUUGAAUAUAAAUAUUUUUUUCUCGUGUGUGUAUAUAUAUUUUUAUCUUUAGCACUAAAAUAUCUUUAAAACUAUAUAUUAAUUUUUUUUCUAACACUUAAAAAACAUCAAUGAUAAAAAAAACUUCACAAAAUUUAAAAAAUCAAUAAAGUAGAGAAAAAAAACUAGAAACAUAUUGUAACAUCCCAAGAAACUAUAAUAAAUCAUGAAAAUAUAUAGACAGAACACGUAGGAACUAAGAUAAGAUUCAUUGUCAGAUUUAAUAAUUUUAUGUAUGAAAAUUUUUGUCAUUGUUUAUACUUACAGUUUUACAUUGAAGAAUUCUAUCGAUAUUUCGGUUUAUAUUUAUUAAUUUUAUAACCGUGGUUGUUUGUAGAAUUCAAGACAAACAAGAUAUGUACUAAUUGAAAUACAAAGUACAAACCUAUUAAUAAGAAAUUUUUGUAUGGUAGUUGCAUUUUGUUAAUCACUUCGUAGUUUAUUUUGAAAAACAAAAUAUAAAAGAACAAGAAAAUAAAAUUUAUUAUUCAUAAAAAAAAUGAUAAAAACAUCUAGAUUUCUUUCUCCACUUAUAUUUUUUUUAUAAUUUUAAAAUGAAUCCUAAAAAGUAACUACUCUAAUUACUAUAAAAAAAAUUUGAAGGGUUUUAAAAAGAUUAUUUGAUCAGUUUUUGCUCGAUUCUAGCAUGUUCCGCAAUUGACGAUUAGCCAAGGGAGAUAUAGUGUUUUUUUUUACAGACUAUCCGGGUGCAUCACUUUACACGAAAAGGAAACAGAAUAGUCAAGAGUCUAAGUCGUCCAUUUCAAAAAAAAUAAUCAAGUACUGUCUGCUUUCUGACUAAAGGAUCUUUUUGAAGUUAUCUAGAUAUAGAAUAAAUUUCAAAAUAAUUUUUUUCUACACUAAUUCUGGUAUUGCAACUCGGCAUUAUAUUAAGUUGGAAAUUCUAUCAAUCACUCAACAAUUUGAAAAAAAAACAAAGUUUAUAGAAAGCACGGGUUUGUUAUCAUAAAAAAAAAAAACUAGCAUUUUAACUAUUUCUUUUUUUAAUUAAUAACCAACUUUCUGUUAUAAUUAUUUUCACCUUACAUAUAAGCUUUUAAUUGAUUAGACUCAACCAGUUGUAAAUUUAGUAUAGUUUAAUUGGUCAGAUUCUGAAUUUAAUUUUUAGAAAUUAUUAAUUUAAGUGAUACAAAUCUCAGGACCACUAUAGAUUUACAUCGUUAACUUCAGGAUCUUAAAAAUUUAGUUAAAGUAUACGUAAACGAGUUCGAACACCACCGUUACAAAAAAAAAAAAAAAAACUAGCUGAUGUUCAAAACAGCCCAGGUGUUCCUAUCAUGUUAAUCCAUGUUACACGGCACUUCUUUGUUUUGAGAGGCUGCCAACACAUGCUUGGCCUCAAAAAAAACAAAAACCUUCACUUUUUUUCUGUCUUUUGGGGUCUUGACUCAUGGUCAAGAGAUAAAACACGUUCGGAUAUUCUCGAAUAUGCUAACUUUUGAUGGGCGUGUUACACGCUCUUCUUCUCUUAAUUUUAUGAGAGGUAAUAUAUAUUUUCGAAUAAAUUCGGCAAACAAAGAUUGAAUUAUUUUUUUCAUUCUGCUAAGGUCAGUUAUUGCUAAAACUUUAAGAUUCAUGAGAGCUUUAAUAUCCCAAAAAGGAGAUAUAUCCCUAAAAAUCAGGCUAAUAUUCCCACGUAUUCAUGUUAAUCCAUUUUGUAUAUCAUGGUUAAUUUGUAGGUUUAAAAGAAGAUUUUUUUAAAAAAAAAUUCUUUGAAUGAUUACAUGUCACUAGGAAAAUCAAUUAGUUGUUCGGUAAUUUCUCAAGAGAAAACAAGAAAAGGUGUCAUGUUUUAGACGCAACAAUGGAAGCGGCGUGAUUUGUGGAACAAAAACUUGCUAGGACAAGAACAAGAUUAGUGCAAGCAGGCGGUAAGAAAGAAGAAAAACAUAGGAAAUUCAAAAUGCCAUAUAAUAAUUCAAACUGAAGUAAUCCCAGACCUCCCACUCAUCUAAAAAUUAAUUAAUCAGUCCGAGUUUUGAUUCAACUGAACAUACACCAAUACCAUGUCCUCCCUAAAAUAUAAAGCAACAGACAAAAAUCUAAGAGCUUAUUAGGUUUUCAUCUAAUUAAAAAAAUUGAAAAUAUUAAUUUGAUGAUCAAGGAGAUUUUUUUAAAAAAAAAUUGAAUUCAAAUCUUAUAAUCAAUAUUUACAAAGAUUUAUUAAAUUUAUCUGCAUACAUGCAUCAUACGAUAAUAUUUUUAAUUAAAUUAUUUUGAAAAAAACAUAACUUUUAUAUUAUCCUUUUCAUUAAAUAAAAAAAAAUAUUAAGAUAAUUACACAUAACAUGGUAGACCGGUGUGAAAAUUAUGAAUGAAAUUAUUGGAUUGGUGGAGUGUUAGUGGUUCUUUUCCCUGCUAUGUGGAUGAUCUAUUACAUCAGUGACCUAACCUAGUGUUUGAAAAAUUUAAGUGUUAGACUUGGUCUAUAUUUUCUUGUUGUGUUAGCUAAAGUAUAUGGCUUACGAAGAACAAUGUUAUCUUCAAUGUUGGAACUGCGAUCUUUGAAGACAGUUUCUCCUUGAUUUUAUAUCGUCUCUCGAAUGAACUCAAAUCUGCAGAUAAGUUUUUCAUAGCUACUAGAACUGAUUUAUUUAUGGGGUCUAAAUGUAUUAUAGAUUGGUCUAACAACAUCAAAUGAAGGCUUUAAACAUGACACAUCAACUCUUUCAGUCCUUAUACUUUUUUUCUAAUCUAUAUCUGUUGGCUUUUUAUUUUUUAUUAUCUGCUUUUUGUUUUUAGAUUAUUCUGUUUUGUUUUUGUUUUUUUUUUAUCUCUUGCUUUUGGCUAGUUCCUUUAAUAUAUCGAAUUCUUUCAAAAAAAAAAAAAAAGAUAAUUACAUAAAACUUACUACCUCGCGAUGAAAUCCUAAGUUGAAAUCUAGCAAAAAAAUGUCUUAGUAAUUGAACACAUUGAUCAGGCACGACAUAUCUGGUCAGCAUCGAUUUAUUCAAGAAAAUCAACUUAGAAUUUGGCAUCUGGUAAAUUCAAAUAGAUAUUUAUUUUUUUCUAAUUAAACUUCAUUAUAUCAAAUAACCAAUUUAUAACCAAUUUAAUUUAAAAGCUCAAGAUACUAAAUAAAAUUCUAAAAUAUAAUUUAUAUUAUUUUUUAAUACACUUUUUCAAAUAAAAAAAUUUUUGAUCUUGAAAUUUAUAUAACUUUAUACUAUCUUGUGUUUAAUUUUUAUUAAAUAAAUAAAAUAAUGAGAUUUAAAGUCAUAAUCGCUUAGUUAUCAAGAUUUUAAUGUAAAGUAAAAUUUAAUUCAACCCAAAAAUUUAAUAUAUAAUUUAUAAUAUUCUACAUAAAUUAAACCGUUUGAUCGAAUCACUUGCUGCCAAAACAUCCAUACAUUUUCAUCCAAUUAAAGUGAAGCCGACAACUUCUACUUUUCCAAGGGACUUGCUUUGGAGCCCGUCAUUUAACGCUAUUGUUUUGAACAUUCUACGCAGACAAUCGAUCCAAGCAUUUAACGCUAUUGUUUUGAACAUUCUACGCAGACUUCGCUUGCAUACUUCCAAAUCAUCGUUCACAUAAUGUUGCAGAACGCCUAUAAAUACCGUUUGAGCUCUCAUUGUUAUUUCAUCCAUCACCUACGAAAUUCUUUUGCAAGAUAAAAAAAGAGAAAUUAAGUGUGCAAAAUGAUGUCAAGCAAGAUUUCUCUUGCUUUCUUUACUCUUAUAACCUUAUCCCUAAUCCUUCCCUCUCGUGCCCAAGACAACCCACAAGAUUACCUUGAUGCUCAUAAUGCAGCUCGUGCAGCUGUAGGUGUUGGUCCACUAACCUGGGACACCACAGUGCAAGCCUAUGCACAAAAUUAUGCUAACCAACGUGCCGGCGAUUGCAACCUUAUCCAUUCAGGUGGACCUUAUGGGGAGAACCUUGCAUGGAGCAGCGCGGACCUUUCAGGUACAGAUGCUGUCAAAAUGUGGGUUGAUGAGAAGGCUUACUACGACUACAACUCCAACUCAUGUGCCGCUGGCCAGCAGUGUGGGCACUAUACUCAGGUGGUUUGGCGGAACUCUGCUCGCCUAGGAUGUGCUAAAGUGAAGUGUAGCACCGGAGGAACCUUCAUUGGGUGCAACUAUGAUCCACCCGGCAACUAUGUUGGGCAAAAACCUUACUAAACCUUUCUGAUUAUGAAAUUAGUGCUUCUAUUACCUGGAAUACUAGUGAUAAAUAAGCUGAUUUAUAUUGGCAUUAAU
RNAcentral lists this long non-coding RNA (9065 nucleotides) under Populus trichocarpa (black cottonwood). RNAcentral describes it as "long non-coding RNA (PTRI_LNC002313)". Lineage: Eukaryota; Viridiplantae; Streptophyta; Magnoliopsida; Malpighiales; Salicaceae. The record is from RNAcentral.